AGUGAACGCUGGCGGUAGGCCUAACACAUGCAAGUCGAACGGCAGCACAGUAAGAGCUUGCUCUUACGGGUGGCGAGUGGCGGACGGGUGAGGAAUACAUCGGAAUCUACUUUUUCGUGGGGGAUAACGUAGGGAAACUUACGCUAAUACCGCAUACGGCCUACGGGUGAAAGCAGGGGAUCUUGGACCCUGCGCGAUUGAAUGAGCCGAUGUCGGAUUAGCUAGUUGGCGGGGUAAAGGCCCACCAAGGCGACGAUCCGUAGCUGGUCUGAGAGGAUGAUCAGCCACACUGGAACUGAGACACGGUCCAGACUCCUACGGGAGGCAGCAGUGGGGAAUAUUGGACAAUGGGCGCAAGCCUGAUCCAGCCAUACCGCGUGGGUGAAGAAGGCCUUCGGGUUGUAAAGCCCUUUUGUUGGGAAAGAAAAGCAGCAGGUUAAUACCCCGCUGUUCUGACGGUACCCAAAGAAUAAGCACCGGCUAACUUCGUG
This 491-nucleotide ribosomal RNA is filed under the name uncultured bacterium. RNAcentral's name for it is "partial 16S ribosomal RNA". It matches the Rfam family "Bacterial small subunit ribosomal RNA", at positions 29 to 507 of the family's 1533-position model. The record is from RNAcentral.